This 17027-nucleotide long non-coding RNA is filed under the name Nicotiana benthamiana. RNAcentral's name for it is "long non-coding RNA (NBEN_LNC017418)". Lineage: Eukaryota; Viridiplantae; Streptophyta; Magnoliopsida; Solanales; Solanaceae. The record is from RNAcentral.
GUCUCAUCCUCAUCACAAACAUUCAGAGCCCCUAAUGUAACGUCGCUGCCGGUGGCAAGUCUCCAAAUAGCCUGAAAUUUACACACCUAAAUCCCCAUGAACUCCUCUUUUCAAGCCCCAUAACUCCAUGGCUCAAAUCAUACCAGAGCUUCUCGAAUGAUCGAUCUUGUGACUGCCAUCUCCGCCGCCCACGGUGGCGCUUACGCCGAUUACCGCCAAAACAACAUCCUAGAUUCCUCUCGUCGUCCUCUCUUUAUAUCUCACCUUAGUUUCCCUUGAAUCCCCACCCAGAGUCUCGAAUCUCGGUAUGACAUUCUACCCAAAACCCUAAGUUCUUCAUACAUCCUUAAAUCCACACCCCCACAGUCCCCAUGACUCCCUCACCUCGAAUCACUAGCCAAAAACUCUCGAAUCUCACCAGGCCAUCUCUAAUUUCGCAUCUUGGGUUUUCGAGUUCUUCUGCCGUUUGGAGAUUCAAUCAUUCGAAUGAUUUUAAUUAAUAUUAUGAGUUUAUUUUUGACAAGAUAAACCUAUAAUAUUAAUUAAAAUUCAAUUCCAUAAAAUCAAUUGAGUUCGAAGACCAAAUCAGUAAGCCUUUUCUCAUUUUUAGUUAAUUUUUGUUUGAUUCAUAAUUUGUCUGUUUAAUUAAUCAUAGUUUUAAUUUCCAAAUCAUUUUAAUUGAUAGUUUGGUUAGAUACAAUUUCUGUUAGUUAAUUGUUAGCUAGAUGUUUAGGUUAGUUUCCAUUCCUUUAGUUCUGAGUUGAUGUUUAAAUGUUCAAUUGUUAGCUUAUUUGUUAAAUGUUAGUUUAAUUUCAUUUAGUUUCGAUUGUUAGUCGAAGCUUAGUAUUUUUUUAUCUUUGAAUCCAGUCGAAGCUUUGUAUUUUUUGAUCUUUGAAUCUUGAUUUUAAAUCAAGUCUGUGUGACCGAAUAGUUAUGUUUUUUUAGUUCAAUUAGUUAAUUUCUGAGUUUCCAUUAAUAAGUCUUAGUUAGUUUUGAAUUGGUUUAGUACUUGGUUAUAGCUGUUGUAGGUUUAAUUAGAAUCAGUAAUUUCAGGGGACUUUCAGGGGUAGUUUAGGCAUGGAAAAAGGGCAUUUUUGUUAAGAAUGGUAAUUUCAAAACAAGAGCAAGGGUAAUAUAGGUAUUAUAUAGGUAGAAGAACAUCCUAGGGCCUUCUAGAGUACGACUUUAGUGAAGAUUCCAGCUAACUUAGGACAGUAGCUUGGGUAACAAUUUAAUAAAUGAGGGACUAAUGUAAAAAUGAAGAGGGACUGAAAAGAAAACUAAAAAAUCUGAUUAUUCCCUCUUAUGUUGCCUAUAAAUUGGCAUUAUCAUGCCUUAAAAGCGGGGUCUUCUUGUGAGCGAUAAAACAAUCCUCUCCAAAUAGCCUUUUCUUUCCAGUUUUCAUAUCCUGUUUUAAAAAUUCAAAAGUUAAAAAUUCAAAAACGGUAGAAAACAAAAUAAAAAUCUUCGAGAAAAAUCAAAAAUACAUUGUUACAUUGAAUCUUAGGCAAAUCAUUCAGUUAAAAUAAAAAAUACACUGUUACAUUGAAUCUUAGGCAAAUCAUUCAGUCAUAUUUCUCUUCUGUUUACUAAAAGUUCUUCUGGAGCUUUGUUGUUGUUUAAUCGACUGGUUUUGGGUCAAUCAAGAUGGUUUGAGUGAAUUUGGUAGACUAAUUUGGGAUUUGAGUUAUUUGCUGAGUUCGGUUUGGUUCAGUAUUGGGUGUUGUGGUUAGAUUGGUUGUUUCUGUGUGGAUUUUUGAAAUACCUUUGAACCGACUUGUUCUUGACUGCCUGUGAUCAUCUCUGUUGCAUUGUUGCCGUUAAUAUCUUUUUCUGCCUCCUAUUUCGUUUUCCAGGUACACAGCUUGACUUUGAUAGCUAGGAGAUAAAAUGUGAAAUGUGAACUUGUAGUUGAAGCAUGAAAUGCAAUUUGAUUCAGUUUUGGAGCUGUGUAUUUGAAUAUGUAGUCUGUUAAUGAUAGUUGAUUUUACAUUUGAAUUUUGAUCUAGAUGGAUGGAAACUGGCCAUGUAAUAACUAACUGAAAUCGUUUUUUUGUACUGUCUAGGCUAAUAAUUAUUCUGUUGCAAAUACACGUGAACUUUUUUUUGAGUUUUGAGUGUUAAUCAGGUUAAGCUUUAGCUCGUUUUUUAUCAAGUUGUAUUCAUAAAUAUGUUUGAAAGGUAACUCAGUGAUGAGGCCAGUCUUAAGUAAUUGAAUUUCAGUGUGGUUUGUAAUUAAAUGAAACUGUUAAUUAGGAUUCUGGGUUGAUCAUAGUUGGAAAUAUAAUUUGAGUCAAAAUCGUUUUAGUUUGUGUUAGUGAUACUGUAGUUCAAAUCUUUGUUUUAAUUUCCAGCAUAAGUGUCAUUUAGGAAGUGAAGUUCAACAUGUCAAUAUCUAUUUGAUUUGGGAUAAUUACGUUUAAAUAAACCGUUAGUUUGCUAUUCUACAGCCUCGAUCUUUGUUAAAUAAAUCUUUGUUAAUUAGGAGAGGAUCGAUACUAGCUGAUUGAGUUCGCCUGGUUUGGGCUAAUUUCAGGCCCAGUGACCAUGGCCAUGUGAUACCCAAACCAAAGGGCAUAACGUAUCUUGGGGCUCUUUGGGCCCAAAGCUGAAAUUUCUUUUCUUAAUUUUUGGUUUGAACGUAGGCCUGGAGACUAUAACACUAAUUAAUUAGUGAUUUUUUCCAUUACUUUAGAGACCAAAUUGGAUAGAUAGUUGUAGUUGCAUUUAGGUCGGCUUUAAAAUAAAAUGAGACGAGCCUCACCAAAUAAAACUACAAAUUGCGCGACCCUCAAUGAAUAUUGUAUUCAAAAUACUUAGAAUUCGGGAGGGCCGUUUAGCGAAUUUUACGGCAUUCCCCAAAAUAAUAAUACGUUAGAUUUUUUAAGCACGAUUUCAAUAAAAUUACAUUCUUAAAUUCGGGUGCACAUUUUUGUGACCCAAAUCCAAAUCUCAAGGGAGUUAAAUUGUAUUGACAACCACGGGCACAUUGAUGGAUAGCUCGAGACAUGUUUUCAUGUAGUUGCAAUUCUUAUUAAAAAAUAAUAAUAAAGCGGUUUACAAUUAAAAAGAACAUAAGCUAGCAUGUAUUAAAACCACAUAAAAUUAAAUACAACAGUUAAGCGGUCGUGCUAGAACCACAGAGCCUGGGAACGCCUAACUCCUUCUCCCAAGUUAACAGAAUUCCUUAUCCGGAUUUCUGAUUCGCGGACUAUAAUACAAAGUCAUAUCUUUCCUAAGUUCGGGAUUAAACCGGUGACCCAAGUGGCGACUCUGAAUAAUUAAUAACUAAAUAAAAUUCCUUUACGCCCUUGCGGUGUAGUGAAAAAAGAAGGUGUGACGGCUCUGGCGACUUUGUUGGGAAAACGAACCCAUAACUUUUUGUUCACAGUUCAGAAUUCGAGCUUAGAUAAUUUGUUGUAUUUGGUUAUAUCUGAUUUUCUACAUGUUCCAUGCUUAAUGUGAUAAAUGUUAGCGCUUUGAUAUUAUCUGAAAUGUAUAUAAAUUGUGCCGAAAUCUUUCUUUUCUCACCUCCGGGGAUGUGCAUACUGGUUGAGACUCCCUAUUCUAUUAGUUUCAUACCCUGAAAUAAUAAAGAGGUCGGACAAGUUACGAAGCCGGAUGGCCUUUUGGUUCCCGGUAAGUUGCCCCCUCCUCGACUCGAGUUGUCCGCUCGUGUACACAGUCUAGAACACAUACACUGGUUUUGAACCUAGAGAUCGGAAGAGCACACGUCUGAAACUCGGGUACACAGUCCAGAACAUAUACUCAGGUUUUGAACUAGAAUAACGUGACUUCAUGUCGGAUCCCUAGUAGCAACGCUUAUUUGCAUCAUGUUGCAUUUGCCUUAGAGGACUCAACACAGGGGUUAGGUCCAUCUAGGACUAGCAACCUGAAAUAAAAAGACCAUCCUGAUGCUUCCUACUUGUUUUCUGCAUUUAUUUGCUUCAAACUUGCAUGCAGACAGGCUUUUAAAUAUUGUGAAGUUGUGAAAAAACGAAAAAGAGAGAAAUAAUAGUUUACAGAGUUAAUUGCCUACUUUUAGAAAAAAACCAAUGCACAAAUACUAUCGAAACUCUACCAAAAUUUUGAGAUAAUGAAAAAGAAAAAUAUUUUAUUUUCAAUAAUCUAUUUCACUAAAAAAAAAAGCAAAAAAAAUAAUUGAAAAGAGUCUUUUAUCUUUUGGAAAGUUGUUCGUUGAAAAAAAAGCAGAAAAGAGUCUUUAUUUUAGUUUAUAAAAAUAGGUUGUUAUAUUGUUUGUUGAAAAUGAAAAAGAAAAAAAAAGUCUUUCUUUUGUCUUAUUUUCAAAAAAAAAGUAGGUUGUUUGUUGAAAGAAGAAAAGGAAAAAGAGUUUAUUUUGUCGUGUUUUCAAAAAAAAUAAAGUGGGUUGUCUUGUUUUCAAAAAGGAAAAAAUAGGUUGUUCUAUUGUUUGUUGAAAAAUAAAAAAAGAAAAGAGUUUUGUUUUAAAAUAGUUUGGUUAAUUUGUCCGAACUAUGCAUGUUUGGUUCUCACCGGAUGUGAGAUACGUAGGCAAAUCGGGUCCAACCUUCCCUUUGCAAAAAUAUUUUAAGUUUAAAUUUUGGCAUGAAUAAGUCAGGUGACGCCGUUUUUGUCAAAAAUAGCCGAAUGUUCCCAAAAGGGACGACGGAAGUGUCACGACCCAAAAUCCACUAAGGGUCAUGGUGGCGCCGGACACCACUGUCAGGCCAGCCAACUAAAAUACUCAAUUGAAUUCGUAUUUUAAUAAUUUCAAAAAUACUUCUUUAUUAUGAUUAAAGCAAUACUCAGUAUGUUCCUCCNNNNNNNNNNNNNNNNNNNNNNNNNNNNNNNNNNNNNNNNNNNNNNNNNNNAAGCAAUACUCAGUAUGUUCCUCCAAUUAAAUAAGGAAAUAUUAAUUCAACUUUCAAAAUUUCUGAAUAAAUUCAAAUACAUCCCCAGAACCCGGAGUCACAAGUACAUGAGCAAUUUUCUAAAGGAAACCAAAUAGGUACAACAACUUCCCGGACAGAAAGUAAUUAAAAUUCUGAAAGAGGCUAUAUUAGCUGUGGAAUCGCCUCGGAUAAAUACAACUCACCUAGUCUCUACGCCGGUCAUGUCGCUAUGCCGCUAAGCCACGAACCACACAAUAAACAUGUGCAACAAAAUGCACAGCAAGUGUAGUAUGAGUACAAAAAUAACGUGUACUCAAUGAAUGUCCCGCCUAAUCCCGAAGGGGUAGAGACGAGAUGGUCGACCUUGAAACUCACUAGCAGUCCAAUGAUUAUUUAUCCAUAAUAAAUAUAUUAAAUAGUGGAUUUGUUUUAUAAACGUAGUUCUAAUCCAGAUAGAGGAAACAAGUAAACAUAUAAUUUUAUCAUGGAAAAGUUUCUUAGAUUUAUUGUUAUUAUUAACAAUAUGAUCUCGAGCCAUAGUGAGGCAUGAAACAACUCAUAUAAGUUCAAGACAACAACACAAACAAGCGCAAAUCAUGACGAGGUCGACGGUCCGCUCCAACAGAAAUGUAAAGUGUGCAAUGCCGAGGGUCGAGCGGCCCAUACCAUAGAUGCAUCUAUAUUACCGAGGUGAUCGGUCCGUUCCAAAAAUAAACACAUACCCUGCUCGUGAAUCAUGCAUCCGACACAGGUACAUAUAAGAAUACAUGCUGAAUCAGUCAAAUAAGAGCUUAUCGGGGAAUAUUUAUUCAAAUAAAAUCAAUUCUCCUUUAAAAAAUUAUAGAUCAAUCCAAGUAUAACAUGCUUUUGGCUCUUAGACUACCCGUACUAUAGCGUAACAGUAGCUACGAACAGACUCUCGUCACCUCGUGCGUACGUAGCCCCCAUAAUUAGGAGCACAUAAUCAAUUUAACUCACCUAUGAGGUAAUUUCCCCUUCACAGGAUUAGAAAGGAGACUCACUCACUCCGAAGACCCAUUAGAAACGAUAUUGAAACAUUAAAUAAGAGCAUGAUCACAACCCAAAACACACCCGAGGCCCACGAGACCCCGACCAAUCACACCAACCACUCCCAAAACACGGUGCGGACUUGCUCGAGGCCUAAAAUCACAUCAAAAACGCCAAAACCGCGAAUCGACCUCCAAUCCAAGCUUGAUUAACUUUGAAGUUUCCAACUUCUAUUUCUGAUGCCGAAACCUACCAAAUCACGUUCGAUUGACUUCAAAUUUUGAACACAAGUCGAAAAUGACAUAACUAAAACUACAGCAACUCUCAGAAUUCCAUUCCGACCCUCAGAUCAAAAUCCCACCUAUCAACCGAAAUUCGCCAAAAUACUAACUUCGUCGAUUCAAGCUUAAUUCUACACUGGUCAUCACAAAGAGAUUUCGGACACACUCCUAAGUCCCAAAUCACCUAACGAAGCUUUCUGAACCAUAAAGUUUGCAUUUCGAGCCAGAUAACAAAAUUUUCACUUUCGGUCGAAUUUUCUCAAAAACCUUCAAAUUUCUAUCUUUAGCCAAACGGUUCCAAAAUGACCUACGGACCUUCGAAUUCACUUCCGAUCACGCUCCCAACUCCAGAAUAACUAUAUAGAGCCACUCCCAGCCUCGGGAUGUCAAACGGACAUUAGUAACACUGAAAUACAUUUUAAGCCAAAGUGAUGCAAUUUCUUCUAAAAUGCUAACUUCCACAAUUGGCGCCAAAACACUUCCGAGUUAUCCAAAACCCGAUCCGGGCAUAUGCCCAAGUGCACAAUCAUCAUACGAACCUGCUGGGACCUUAAGAUCCCAAUUCCGAGGUCAUUUACUCAAAAUUCCAGUUCUAACUCAUUUCUUCAACUUUAAGCUUUCCAAAUGAGAAUUCACCUUCCAAAUCCAUUUUGAACUUGCCGAAAUUCAAUGCCGACCACGCGUAUAGGUCAAUAUACCUGAAAUGAAGCAGCUCAUGCUCUCAGAAUGCUGAAUGAUGCGCCAGAACUCAAAACGACCGGCCGGGUCGUUACAAUCUACCCCACUUAAACAUACGUUCGUUCUCGAACGUGCUGAGAACUACAGUGAAGUAUUCUAAAAUCACUUUUUUAACACCUCAUGCACCUUCUCGUGCUACCACCACUCAGUUGAGCACAUUAGCUCGAUAACACUAUAGAUAUACUCAUUUAUUCAAGCAAUAAGCCAUUAGGCCCAAUUCCAACAUCCUAAAUUUCCUACCAAGUCUGUUUCCAUCAUACGACCACCAUAUCAAUCUACACACAUUGUACCCAAACAUGACUGCAUAACUUUGCGGAAUUCACGCUUUGCAUCACUUUAUUGAUAGGACCACAAUAACACUCUCUUAUCGAAUAAAUCAAAAUUCCACAAAUCCGAUGCUCCCAUUGCACCUCAUGACCUACACAUAUCUUGCUUUAACUUUUACAACACCGACACGACGGAAGAAAUAUGCCGAAAUUCAUAACCAACUGCUGAAUCAACAAAUCAUUGGGUCUACACUUCUGAAAAGCAUCAUUGCCUCCUCAUGAACCAUCUAAUGGUAUUAGCUCCUUAAUAUACUUCAUAUAGUCAAAUUGCACCGACCCUACAUCCCAUAAUCUCGUCUUACCCAGUACAAACUACUCAGGAAAUAAGCCAUCUCGGGCAUAAACAAAAGCCUCAUAUGAUGCCACAAUGUGCCAAUAGGCUACCAAUCCAAACGCGACACAAAAGGAAGGCAAACUCUAGAAGGAAUUAUCGAACCCCGCACUACUACGGAUUUCCUAGAAGAUAGGAAACAAAACACACAAAAACAGAAUGUAGGAAACCAGAUUCGACAUCACACUAUUGCAGCGCGCAACCCGAACCGAAUAACAUAACACUCAACAAAGGAGAUGCACAUCGAGCUAGAUUGCUCAUUACAACAAAAUACCAAAUAUUGAUCAUAGACAUGAUAGGGUGUAUAAUACCAUCCCUAAGGAAACAUAUAGCGCUAUGGCCUACAAACUCAAGAACAAAUGAGGAGUGAUACAUGAUCUAAAUCUCAAGAGCCAUCCUGAUCAUAUAACAUCACCGCUGAGCGGAACCUCAACACAUAAUGAUUUUACCAAGUUGUCUCACAAGUCAUACUGCGCAAUAUAUCUUUACAUGAAUUAGAUGACCAUGAAAUAAGACCGCGACUAUCCUUCCAUUAAGGGUGCAUUGCUGAAAUAAACACAACUAGCAUGACGUAAGGCUCACUUCCACAUUUAAAUCUAUCCACCGACCUCAAGUCGAUCCUGAUCAUGCCAAGCAAGGCCAAUAAUCUUUCACAAGUCCAUAACCCAAUAAAUAGAGUGCCCUCCAGGCAUAAAUUCUCAAAUGAAUGAUAUUACCAAAAUCCUCAUACUUGGUUUAAAUCUCUAAUUAAUCAAGUGACUACAUGUCACGCUUAUACAAUCAUCCUGUGGGACAAGCCCCCACCAUCUUGCGAAAUAAUUAACGACAUAUUCAAACCACCGGCUACACCUACGCUGAAAAGCGAUCAAGAAUCCCUAACCAGGAUGCAAAGACUUUCUCACAGAACACCGAUCUCAGGUGAUAUUGAUGCCCAUACCCAUCUUACUCAAAACACUGAAACUCCUUUCCUGCUCAUCCGAGCUCGUGACAUCACAGUUAUUGACCACACUGCAACCUUGGUCUUUACUUAUCAUUCCAUACCACUCACUGCACCUCACAUGCUGAUCUACGAUAGACACAAUUUCCAUCACCACUCUGGAACCGCCGAUAGGAUAACACUUCAUCAUGUAAUAUUUUCCAUUUAACUCACUUUAUGAGAACUAUAGCAACAUACAAGCAAAUUUUCGUAACCGUCAAAUAUGCCAAUAUAUAAGUAGUGGUCCAAGCCACCAAACCCUUCUGGGAUCCGCCUACUCAUAACAGGCCAUAACAUAAGAAUGCUUCUGAAUAACAUCAAUAACUGUGGCACCACAGAGCCUCACACGUACUGCCACAAUCACAUGCAUAACUCGAUCAUGCUGAAGGAACUAUCACUGGCACCAAUAUGCCAAUUCAACUAUGGCUAAUCAAUCUACUUCCUUCCAGUUUAUCCUUGAUUGCUUUAGGAAUAAUAAUAACAUCCAUUCAACACCUAACUUAUUCCAACCGCACUCACCCUGAAUGACCUUAAAUCGUGAGACCAUGCUGUCUCAAAUCCCAUGACCAUUUCAUGUCUCUCAAAUGCUACACCGCAAGUCAAAACACCAUAGAAGAUUCUGUGCCAUUAUUCAUAAGAUGCUUCAAAAUCUUGACUCUUAACUGUACUUAUAGACUCAAAAUUAUUAGGCACCACAUUUUACCUUUUGAAUUCACUAGGGCCGUUAUUGAGAGCCACCUGCUCUGACUUGGCCCUGAAUGCAACCAACUCCAAUAAAUUUUAUAACAUAUGAAUACCCUCUCAAUAAAGCACCCAGGGUGAUCACUUCCCUCGAAGCAUGCACCUAUACGGGGCAUAAAUCAUGAAUCUUCCCUCAAGUCUGAACAUGAGCCAAUAAGGCCAACCAUAGCAUUCAUUCCACAAUUCAUUUGCUCAGAUUACCACUUAUGGUCUAUUCUCCUAGCUGGGAUAACCCAUCAAUAUGCUAUUAACCAGAAAUCACGCUAGUAGUUAAUCAUGCAACCCAACAAUAAGCAGUGGGAUUCUCCCACUUAGCUUGAAGCCGUCAUUCCACAAUUCUGGAAUUUACUAGAAUUCUUCAUAUUUUGUUGACAUAGCCUUUAACAAUGAACUUUGAAUCAUCAACCACAUUUGCGUGAUCGAUCUCUUUGUUGAACAAAUAGUAAAAAUUCCUUGUAGAAGCUUCGCCAAUCACGCGACCGCUAACCUGCACAUAGGGAAUAACCCACCUGAAGAAGACACUUCUCGACAUCUUCUUAAUGCUGAUGCACAGGGUACAGUCACUAUAACUCCAAUUACCCCUCCUAGGUCCAAGUGCACCCUCCAGAUGCACCAGUCCAUUCGUCCCUCGUGGACAUUAAUAAAAUGUGCAGCAAUAUCCUUCCAAUUCAAAGCUAUGUUGCAUCCUCCUUUAUUUCAAGUAUCUCAUUUCCGCUAUAUCAAAUCUUCUGCUGCAUAAUGACCUAUUCUUCAAGUUAGCUUCAUAGGCCCCAACCACAAAUCUCUGAAAUUCUCCGAUCAAUCCAAACUCUCCUUAAGGCGGUAGUCAUCCUACUACCAAGCCCAUAUGCUAUAUCCGCCACUCCACCACUUUGGCAGAACUCAUCCCUUUAAUCAACCAUCCGACCUUGCUCCUCGUACUUGGCCUUCUAGAAGUUUAAAACACCGCCUGACACUCCACACAUGUCCUUCCUCAUACUCUCUUGCUCAAUUGUUUCCUUAAAUAAAAUCUAUCUUCAUAGGACUUGAACUCAAAAGUCGCUACUAACUUUAAACCUUUCCGAAGAUCAACUUUCUCGAGCCAUCACAUUAGAAGCACCGGUCCCAUCCUGAACCACCGCAUCCUACGAUCUCUAACUGUCACUUCUUAAUUAUUGACCUGCAAUAUCCUUCCCCAAAGUCAAAUUGUAGAAGAUCAUAACACCGACGAAUAUCGCACAUUCGAUAGGGACAACGACAUCAGCCUAAGCUGAACAUUCUCUGCCCGAUUGCCUUUCCCCUACCAGGAAUAAAACACCGAAUCUCUAGAUCAUGCACUGAGUAAACCUCCCUUCAGUAAUUCACUACCUCCACGCAUAGGCAAAUAUCCUGCCAUCAUAUUAAUACCGCGAAAACUCAUUCAUAACCAUCAUGGCAACCUGCGCUUAACCGAGCCAAAAUAAUAAAAUAUCCCUCCACAGAGCGACUAUAAUAACCCAAUCAACUAUACCGGAAGAAACAUCCCACUCCACAUCUGUAGUGCCAUCGAAGUUCUUAAAUUCUCGAUUUACAACAGGUGCUCUACGUCGCAUAAGAUUGAGUAUGAAGGAAACAAAUGCAUAGGCCUUAGAGGAAUCAAAUCGCACGAUAAUGAAAUCAAGAAGGAAAAUACUCCUAUCAGCCCUGUAGCCUCUCGAGGAUAAGUACAGACGUCUCUGUACCGAUCGGCCAUACUCUACUAGACAUAAUCAUGACUCGUGAGACCAAUGGGAACCUAAAGCUCUGAUACCAUGUUGUCACGACCCAAAAUCCACUAAGGGCCGUGGUGGCACCGGACACCACUGUCAGGCUAGGAAACUAAAAUACUCUAUUAAAUUCUUAUUUUAAUAAUUUCAAAAAUACUUCUUUAUUAUGAUUAAAGCAAUACUCAGUAUGUUCAUCAUAUUAAAUAAGGAAAUAUUAAAUCAACUUUCAAUAUUUCUGAAUAAAUCCAAAUACAUCCCCAUAACCCGAAGUCACAAGUACAUGAGCAAUUUUCUAAAGGAAACCAAAUAGGUACAACAACUGGCCGGAAUACAAUUGGACAGAAAGUAACUAAAAUUCUGAAAGAGAAUAUACUAGCUACGGAAUCGCUUCGAAGAAAUACAGCUCACCUAGUCUCUGUGCUUGUCAUGCGGCUAUGCCUCUAAGCCAUGAGGCACACAAUAAAUCUGUGCAAAAAAAUGUACAGCAAGUGUAGCAUGAGUACAAAAACAAUAUGUACCCAAUGAGUGUCCCGCCUAACCCCGAAGGGGUAGAGACGAGAUGGUCGAACUUGACACUCACUAGCAGUCCAAUGAUUAUUUAUCCAUAAUAAAUAUAUUAAACAGUUGAUUUGUUUUAUAAACAUAGCUCUAAUCCAAAGAGAGGAAACAAGUAAACAUACAAUUCUUUCAUGGAAAAUUUCCUUAGAUUUAUUGUUAUUACUAACAAUAUGAUCUUGAGCCAUAGUGAGGCGUGAAACAACUAAAAUAAGUUCAAGACAACAGCACGAACAUGCACAAAUCAUGCCGAGGUUGACGGUCCGCUCCAACAGAAAUGUAAUGUGUGCACUGCCGAGGGUUGAGCGGCCCGUACCAUAGAUUCGUCUAUUCCACUGAGGCGAUCAGCCCGUUCUAAAAUUUAAACACAUACCCUGCUCGUGAAUCAUAUAUGCGACGCAGGUACAUAUCGAAAUUCAUGUGCAAAUAGCCAAUUAGGAAUUUAUUCGGGAACAAUUAUCAAAUUACAAGCAAUCCCCUUUUUAUUCAAUUUAAAAGAUAGAAGUGUAACUCUUUAGGAAUUCGUUUACAAAUUCUAUGUGAUUUGAACAAUUCAAGCCAUCAAUGGAUUUACAAUUAAUUCAAGUAUACAUGUUUUUGGGUCCUAAACUACCCUGACAAUAGCAUAAUAGUAGCUACGCACAGACUCUCAUCACCUCGUGCAUACGUAACCCCCACAAUUCAGAGCACAUAAUCAAUUUAACUCACCUAUGUGGUAAUUUCCCCGUCACGGGAUUAGAAAGGAGACUCACCUCACUCCGAAGACUCAUAACCGACAUUCUACAUUCCUCCAAAGGCUUGAACCGGCGUACAAUGCUCCCAAAACUGAUCAAUGAUCAUGUAAAUCCAUUAAUAUAUGCUAAGGUAUUCAUUAUAAUGCAAUUUAUAACAAUUUCCAACCCCGAACAAAAAGUUGACCAAAACGCCCUCGGGCCCACGUGCCCGGAAUCAGAAAUUUUUCGAAGAUAAAGUUUACCCAUGACUGUAGGAACCCAAAUAUAUAAUUUUCUCUUAACUCUAUGCUCAAAUUCAUGGUAAAAAUCCAAUAACAAAAUAUUUCUAGGUCUUCCUCUAACCGUCAAAUUUCUACCCAUUUUCAUGCUAAAAUCCGUACAGAAUUGAUCUAUAUACUCAAAACUAGUAGAGACCACUUACUUCGUGCUUGGUGAUGAAAAUGGCUCUCCAAAGUUGCUCCAAAGUCAGCUCCCAUGGAAGAAAUAAUAUGAAAGAUGAGCCAAAUUCGAAUUUUUGAGAAACCUCUCUGCCUCGAGCAGUUUCCGCUUCUGCGAAAAAUUUUCCGCUUUUGCGGUUCUGCAUCUGCGGACAAUUUUCCGCUUAUGCGGUUUUGACAGCAACCAGCUCUUCUCGACACGAAAACGAGCAUAACUCCCUCAUACGAUCUCCAAAUUUGACGAUUAUUUUUGCUAUGGCUCCGAAAUUAUGAUAUGGAUCUAAUGGUUCAAUAAAAGAUUAAUUUGGAGCUCAUUUGAUUAAUAUAGUACCCCUUUAUGUCCAAAGAAACAACGUUGAAACAUCAAAUAAGAGCGUGAUCACAACCCGAAACACACCCGAGGCCCCCGGGACCCCAACCAAUCACACCAACCAAUCCCAAAAUACAUUACGGACUUGCUCGAUGUCUCAAAUCACAUCAAACAACACCAAAACCGUGAGUUGAUCUCCAAUCCAAGCUUGAUUAACUUUGAAGUUUCCAACUUCUAUUUUCGAUGCCGAAACCUAUCAAAUCACGUACAAUUGAUUUCAAAUUUUGCACACAAGUCCAAAAUGACAUAAAAAACAACAAAGAUCUCGGAAUUUCAUUCCAACUCUCAUAUUAAAAUCUCACCUAUCAACCGGAAUUCGCCAAAAUACUAACUUUGCCAAUUCAAGCUUAAUUCUACAUCGGUCAUCAUAAUAAUAUUCCGGACACCCUCCUAAGUCCCAAAUCACCUAAAGAAGAUUUUCGAACCAUAAAAUUUGCAUUUCGAGCCCGAUAUCAAAAUUCCACUUCCGGUCAAAUUUUCUCAAAAACCUUCAAAUUUCUAUCUUUAGCCAAAUGGCUCCAAAUUGACCUAUGGACCUCCGAACUCACUUUCGAUUGCGCUCCCAACUCCAGAAUCACUAUACAGAGCAACUUCCAGUCUUGGGAUGCCAAUGGACAUUAAUAACACUGAAAUACAUUUUAAACCAAACUGACGCAAUUUCUUCUAAAAUGCUAACUUCCACAAUAGGUGCCAAAACACUUUCGAGUUAUCCAAAACCCGAUCCGGGCUUCCGCCCAAGUCCCCAAUCAUCAUACGAACCUGUUGGGACCUUCGAACCCAAAUUCCGAGGUCGUUUACUAAAUAUUCCAAUUCUAGCUCAUUAUUCAACUUUUAACUUUCCAAAUGAGAAUUCUCCUUCCAAAUCCAUUCUGAACUUACUGAAAUUCAAUUUCGACCACGCGUACAGGUCAAUAUACCGAAAAUGAAGCUGCUCAUGCUCUCAGAAUAUUGAAUGAUGCGCCGGAUCUCAAAACGACCGGCUAGGUCGUCAGAGGAAGGCUGCUUUUGCAAGAACAGCCACCUUUAGUUAUUUUAUAAAUAUUUUGGCUGGUUAGCCAAUGCAGCCUUAAAAUAUUCGUCCCUGAGGUGCUGAGAGAUGCGUUUGUAAAAUCAGGUCUUUUAUUUUAAUUUGAAAAAAGGAAUAAAAAGAGUCAGUGGUCAAGUGAGUACCGCUUGGAUUUUUGGUCAAAAUAAGCCGAGCCAUCUUCGGCAGUGUCUUAAACCACUCUUGCCGAGAUAGCCUUAGAGUAUCUUUCACUUGUCGAAAGGUUAUUCUCGUAAACGAACAGGCAAGUUUGUGAAAUGUCAUAAAACAAUCCUCCCUUGCCUCAAAAUUAAUGUGGAAGUGGGAAGGGGCCAUGUUUAAUGUAGAGCUUUGUUUGGAAUCAAAAAUAGGGGCUGAUUGUUGGAAACAAUUAGUGCAAGGCAUACAUUGUGUCCAUAUUAAGUCGCUACCAGUGUCUGCUAUGGCUACAAUUUCAACUGGUGGAGUUCCAAUAAAUAUUUUCAUGAGAUAUUCUCCUGGGACUGGAAUAAUAUCCGAUUGGAUUGUGUCACUAGCACUAGUAAGGGAAUUUUUCUUGAAGAAGGAAGCCCGAGAAAAUGAUCGAUGGUAGGCGUUUUGAAGGCAGUUUGAUGGAGUGUUUGAUGGGUUGUAGAAAGGCGAAAGAGAAGAAUCGCGGUGGAUAAGAUUAAGAGUGAAGCCAUUUACAUUAUGAUUGCUUUUUAUUUUGCGACAAGAAACUAAAGAAAGGUGAAAAAAAGCUAAUAUGACCAAUGUAGAAAAAGUUUGAUGGAGUGUUUGAUGGGUUGUAGAAAGGCGAAAGAGAAGAAUCGCGGUGGAUAAGAUUAAGAGUGAAGCCAUUUACAUUAUGGUUAUUUUUUAUUUUGCGACAAGAAACUAAAGAAAGGUGAAAAAAAGCUAAUAUGACCAAUGUAGAAAAGAGAGUGCUAGCUUUAGUAUUCAUCUUCAUGAUUAAUGGGUUUAUGAGAUUAGAUAUGAUUUUCAAGAAUGUUGAGGAAUGAUGGAGAAAAGUUUGUAAUUAUACCAUUUUAUAGGUGAAAAUAAGAGAAUGGGAAUGCAUGUAAGAAUAUAGAAAGUCAAAAGGACAUAUUAACUUGGAAGAAAUGGUAAAGACACCAAAUGCAAAGUAUACGAUGUGAAAAUUUCUUGAAAGUUAAAGAAGAAUUAAAUUAAAGAAGAAUACAUAAGGAGUUUCAUUUUCCUUAGAAGAGACAAGAAUAUUUUUAAGUGACCAUGUCCAAAAUGAUUCAUUUAAUAUACUCUUUUUUCCCAAUAUUUACAUCCACACCAUGUGUUAUAACAUGCAUUGAUUUUCUUUACGGCAAAAAAUAUAGCAUGAUAAUCAUUAUAUAAACAUUUAAUACUGCAUGUGUACGAGUUUUGAACAAAAAUAUUUGUAUGGUUUAGAACAAUGAAUUUUGGAAGUUUUCUCACUUAGAAAUAAAUGAACUCCCAUUUGAAUGCAACAUGUCAUACAUUUACCUUUUGCCUUCUAUUAAUGACUGGUUGAGCUUCGCCUACGCAACCCCUCCCCCCACCCCCACCCACCACCCCUAAAAACACAUCCAAAGGGGAUUGUUUUUUCACUAUAUUAAAAAAAAAUGCCACCUAUCAUUGCUUAUAGAUAAAAGUGAAAACAUACCUUAGUGUUUUUUUUGACACUGUCGAAUAAUUACUAGCUAUAGAUCGUGUAAUUACUAGGAUAUGUUAUUCACAUAGUUUAUUAAUUAUACAACAUAGUAAAUCAAAGACUUUUUUAUUUGUUUUAAUGUAUUACUAUAAUGUAAUUCUCAGCUUUCAGGUUGCACAAGUAGUAAUUACAUAAUAAAAUAAUUUUUAAUUUUAAAAAUAAAUUUUAAUUAUAAAAAAUUAAAUAAGUAUUUUAUAUAUGUGUGUGGGUGGUUUUUUUUAGGUGGGGUGGCUGCUAAAUAAAUUUUAACGUGUGACUGUUAGUACGUGAUUUUUGCCCUAUAUAUGAAUUAUUCCUCUUUCAAAAAUUCAAACAAAAUAAUUUUUCUUUAUUUUUAAAAUUUUUGAGUAAUUUUUUUAUAAUUCUUUGCAUGUUAUUUGUGCAUGUUAACUCAUAUGAAAAAACAAAAAUAUCCAUGUGCAUUUAGGAUCUAAUUUCACUUUUUAGGAUUAAUUAGUGAUUACGUUAUUCUACAAAAAAAGUCCAUUUUCGCACUUUUACUUGUUAAUUGUUGAGUUUAUUUUUAAAUAGAGUUUAAUCAAUUUUGUAGGAAUUAAUUAAGCUUAAUUUUAAAUAUAAAGUAGAUUUCAUUUAAAUUUUUGCAUUUUUAUAAAAUCAAGAAAAAAAUACAAAAUGAAAUACAAAAAAAAUAAAUAAGGGGAAUAAAAAGAGAAAACAAAUAAAAAGGAAGGGAGUAUUUACAAGAAUCAAAAUUGGGCUAUUAAUUCUAAUAUUACCUUAGCCCAACCAAAACCAACCACCCGUCCAAGCCCAAAUUCAACAACCCGGUCUUCCUCCCCUACUAAGGUCCAAACGGCGUCGUUUCAGGCAAAAUUUACUAUCGUUGAUUUUUGAUCUAAUGGUUGAGAACGUCCUAGGUUCUCUAAUAUAAAAGUGUCUGAAAACCCUACCCACCACCGUCUCAUCCCCCUCACAUACAUUCAGAGCCCCUAAUGUAACGCCGCCGGCCGGAAAUUGUCGCUUCCGGCGGCAAGUCUCCAAAUAGCCUGAAAUUUACACCCUAAAUCCACAUGAACUCCUCUUUUCAAGCCCCAUAUCUCCAUGGCUCAAAUCAUACCAGAGCUUCUCGAAUGAUCGAUCUUGUGACUGCCAUCUCCGCCGCCCACGGCGGCGCUUACGCCGAUGACCGCCAAAACAUCAUACUAAAUUCCUCCCAUCGUCCUCUCUUUAUAUCUCACCUUAGUUUCCCUUGAAUCCCCU